Molecule: non-coding RNA, 133 nt
Organism: Aptenodytes forsteri (emperor penguin)
Lineage: Eukaryota; Metazoa; Chordata; Aves; Sphenisciformes; Spheniscidae
Source: Rfam
ACCUGCAUUCGCAAGGGGUUGAGGUCUCGCCCAUGACUCGGUCGUUGACAGUGCAGGGAGAGGAGCUCCGAAAGCGUUUCCCGUGUUCAGUGGGUUCGAUCCCGUCCCUCCCAAACCCUGUAGCCUUCGGACA